AGUCGUAACAAGGUUUCCGUAGGUGAACCUGCGGAAGGAUCAUUAACGCGCAGGCCGGAGGCUGGCCCCCCACGAUAGGAAUCAACGUUCCAUCAGGGGUGUGCAGAUGUGCGCCGGUCUUACGCCCCAUUCUUGUCUACCUUACUCGGUUGCCUCGGCGGGCCGCGCUCUCCUGGGAGAGUCGUCCGGCGAGCCUCUUUGGGGGCUUUAGCUGGAUCGCGCCCGCCGGAGGACAGACAUCAAAAAAUCUUGGAAAGCUGUCAGUCUGAGCGUUAGCAAGUAAAAUUAGUUAAAACUUUCAACAACGGAUCUCUUGGUUCCGGCAUCGAUGAAGAACGCAGCGAAAUGCGAUAAGUAAUGUGAAUUGCAGAAUUCCGUGAAUCAUCGAAUCUUUGAACGCACAUUGCGCCCUCUGGUAUUCCGGGGGGCAUGCCUGUUCGAGCGUCAUUUCAACCCCUCAAGCCCGGCUUGUGUGAUGGACGACCGUCCGACCUCCUCUUUCGGGGGCGGGACGCGCCCGAAAAGCAGUGGCCAGGCCGCGAUCCCGGCUUCCUGGGCGAAUGGGCAGUCAAACCAGCGCCCUCAGGACCGGCCGCUCUGGCCUUCCCCCAAAUCUCUCUGAGAUAUUUUUUCAGGUUGACCUCGGAUCAGGUAGGGAUACCCGCUGAACUUAAGCAUAUCAAUAAGCGGAGGA
Molecule: unclassified non-coding RNA, 694 nt
Filed under: Trichophyton concentricum
Lineage: Eukaryota; Fungi; Ascomycota; Eurotiomycetes; Onygenales; Arthrodermataceae
Description: sequence contains 18S rRNA gene, ITS1, 5.8S rRNA gene, ITS2, 28S rRNA gene
Rfam family: 5.8S ribosomal RNA (bases 294-447)
Source: RNAcentral